GACGAACGCUGGCGGCGUGCCUAAUACAUGCAAGUCGAACGCACUCUCGUUUAGAUUGACGGAGUUUGCUCCUGAUUGAUAAACAUUUGAGUGAGUGGCGGACGGGUGAGUAACACGUGGGUAACCUGCCCUAAAGUGGGGGAUAACAUUUGGAAACAGAUGCUAAUACCGCAUAAAACCUAACACCGCAUGGUGUAGGGUUGAAAGAUGGUUUCGGCUAUCACUUUAGGAUGGACCCGCGGUGCAUUAGUUAGUUGGUGAGGUAAAGGCUCACCAAGACCGUGAUGCAUAGCCGACCUGAGAGGGUAAUCGGCCACACUGGGACUGAGACGCGGCCCAGACUCCUACGGGAGGCAGCAGUAGGGAAUCUUCCACAAUGGACGAAAGUCUGAUGGAGCAACGCCGCGUGAGUGAAGAAGGUUUUCGGAUCGUAAAACUCUGUUGUUGGAGAAGAAUGUAUCUGAUAGCAACUGAUCAGGUAGUGACGGUAUCCAACCAGAAAGCCACGGCUAACUACGUG
This 520-nucleotide ribosomal RNA is filed under the name uncultured bacterium. RNAcentral's name for it is "partial 16S ribosomal RNA". It matches the Rfam family "Bacterial small subunit ribosomal RNA", at positions 28 to 507 of the family's 1533-position model. The record is from RNAcentral.